This is a long non-coding RNA of Canis lupus familiaris (dog), 577 nucleotides long. RefSeq lists it as uncharacterized. NCBI's taxonomy places the organism in Eukaryota, Metazoa, Chordata, Mammalia, Carnivora, Canidae. The record is from RefSeq and is a predicted model, not a curated record. The transcript is spliced from 3 exons.
GGGGUUUCCAUCUGCCAAACUGAGGGGAAAAAAGAACUUUUGGCUUACUCAUAUCAUUCUUCAUUCUUCCUUGAUUGGCACUAUAACCUGUGAUUAUGAGCUCUCCAGGGUCACGCUCCAUCAAGAGCUCUCUAAACCUCCUGGCUCUGCUUUUUUGUAUCUCUACGGACUGACCCAUCCCCUCUCCAUCACCUGAGCUCUCCUGCCCUCUGACUUCUGGUCGGAUCCAGCCAAUAUGAGGCGCCAACAGGAAGUCUGAGACUGAGAGAAGACAGGUGGUACAAGAUUGAGCAGCAACUUGUUCUCCAACUCAAAGAGAAUAUCUCAAUGUGUUCCUGAACACUGGAUUUCUAGAAGCUUCGUUAAGAUGAUGGUCUCCUGAAAAAUUUAUCUCCACUUACUGGCUCACAAGUGUCACUGUUACAUAUCUUCUUAAGGCAUAAAAAACACUUAACUAACAAAAAUACUAACCCAAAAAGAUAUAUGCACCCUUAUGUUUAUUGCAGCGUUAUUUACAAUGGCUAAAAUAUGGAAGCAGCCCAAGUGUCCAUCAAUAGACAAAUGGAUUAGGAAGAUG